GAUGAACGCUGGCGGCGUGCCUAAUACAUGCAAGUCGAGCGAACAGAUGAGGAGCUUGCUCCUCUGACGUUAGCGGCGGACGGGUGAGUAACACGUGGAUAACCUACCUAUAAGACUGGGAUAACUUCGGGAAACCGGAGCUAAUACCGGAUAAUAUAUUGAACCGCAUGGUUCAAUAGUGAAAGACGGUUUUGCUGUCACUUAUAGAUGGAUCCGCGCCGCAUUAGCUAGUUGGUAAGGUAACGGCUUACCAAGGCAACGAUGCGUAGCCGACCUGAGAGGGUGAUCGGCCACACUGGAACUGAGACACGGUCCAGACUCCUACGGGAGGCAGCAGUAGGGAAUCUUCCGCAAUGGGCGAAAGCCUGACGGAGCAACGCCGCGUGAGUGAUGAAGGUCUUCGGAUCGUAAAACUCCGUUAUUAGGGAAGAACAAAUGUGUAAGUAACUAUGCACGUCUUGACGGUACCUAAUCAGAAAGCCACGGCUAACUACGU
This 496-nucleotide ribosomal RNA is filed under the name uncultured bacterium. RNAcentral's name for it is "partial 16S ribosomal RNA". It matches the Rfam family "Bacterial small subunit ribosomal RNA", at positions 28 to 506 of the family's 1533-position model. The record is from RNAcentral.